UGCCUCAUGCUGGAAUCUAACCAGCGAACAUUCUGUUUACUAGACAGACGCUCUGCCCCUGAGCCAAUGAGGC
RNAcentral lists this transfer RNA (73 nucleotides) under Teladorsagia circumcincta. RNAcentral's name for it is "tRNA-Thr". The record is from RNAcentral. Lineage: Eukaryota; Metazoa; Nematoda; Chromadorea; Rhabditida; Trichostrongylidae.